Xenopus laevis (African clawed frog) is the source of this 2254-nucleotide long non-coding RNA. RefSeq lists it as uncharacterized. The transcript has 2 exons. The record is from RefSeq and is a predicted model, not a curated record. NCBI's taxonomy places the organism in Eukaryota, Metazoa, Chordata, Amphibia, Anura, Pipidae.
UUAAAUGAUUUUCUAGUAGACUUAAGGCAUGAAGACCCAAAUUACGGAAAGAUCCGUUAUCCGGAAAACCCCAGGUCCCAAGCAUUCUGGAUAACAGGUCCCAUACCUGUAAUUGUAAUGUACACUUAUUACUGUAGCUCUGGCCCUAGGCUAACACAAAAUAAUAUGAUCGUUGAUGCUUCAUUUCUACUUUUUUAUUUUCCACAGGUUUUGUUUGUUCCAACUUUAACAUUGGACGGCAGUCAGAUCAGAGAUAUAUUAGUUGACCAUGUGCAAGCAGUGUAUCAUAUCUUCACAAGGUUGCCAGGAACAAAAGGAAUGACCAGCAGAUGGUCAAACAUUUUUAAGAUCAAGGACUGGGGACUGACAGAACCAGGAGGGAUGCCUGCAUAACACAGGAGGCUUCGAAAGGGAGAAGCAUCCUUCACAAGGGAUACACCACUGAUCUGCCAAACAUUGCAGCUAUCCUGGUAGAAGCAGUAGCUAUUAAAGAAUCAAAGGUGCUCAGGGAAGCACUUUAUAUUCUCUAUGUCUAUUUUCUACCAGCCUUCAGUUUGUAUUUAAAUAAGGUAAGGCAUAUGCUGAGGAAUUUGAAGGUAAAGUCAAGCACUCUACAUUCAGAGACCUCCCAGCUAGCAUACAGGUAGGUUCUUGAUAAAACAUACAAGCAUGGUUAAUUAGCUUGGCCAGAGACCUACUUGGUCUGAAAAAAGAGACAACACAAUUUAAAAACGUAAGGGUUAUGAAAUAAGACAGUGGUGAUAAAUCAAUAAGACUUUGGUUAGUUUAGAUUCUGAAAAAAGCAUUUGUAAAUUAGGAUUUUCUUUAUUUUUGUAAUUCUUAUGGUUUUAAGGGGACUUUUAUUGCUUUAUUAAAACAAACUAACUCUUCUGAAGUUAGAUUUAUAGUUCCCAGGGAACAAUCAUUCAGUUAUCUUUAUUUUAUUUUGGGGUACGAGACAGGGCUGUCCUUUAUCCCCCCCUACUCUUUAAUAAAACGAUUGAUCCUCUGAUUUAUGAACCUCUCAGAUGGGCAACAUCUAAAGACCAUGGCAUGUGUGGAUUAUUUACUUUUGAUUGUCCAAGAGCCUCAUACGUAAAUUAGUAAAAUUUUCACCUUUUUUCAAGAAAAACUUUUUACAAGAAACUUGAGCAAAACUGAGAUAGUAAACAUUCACAAUUUUAUUUCCAAACGGACCCUGCUGUAUUUAAAGAUUAAGCCUCCAGGGAGUUCUAUAACAUACCUAGGAUUGAGUAUUCAUUCAGAUCUAUCCAGGUUAUAUUUUGUAAACGUAUCCACCCUGAUUAAACUCACUGAAUCUCUUUGUAGUAAAUGGAUAAACUUACCUCUUAACCUUAUUGGAAGAGUUGCUUUCUUCAAAAUGUUAAUUUUCCACAAAUUAUCAUAUACUUGGCUAAAUUUCCCCUUUUGUUAAGGCAUUCAGAUUUGAAACAAAUGGACCAAGCAAUUUUUAAAUUCCUCUGGCAAGGAAAGAAACCUAAAAUCUCUUUGUUUAAGCUUAGACAAUCAAAAAUUCUGGGAGGUCUCAAUAUUUCUAGCUUCAGAUAUUUUAAUUUAGCUUCUAUUUGUAGAUUGAGUGGACAUCCGGUAAAGAGACCUACACCAACCUUAAAUUGGAAUCCUCUUUAGAAACAGGGGAACAUAUCACUUCUUAUCUAUCCUGUUGAUGAUAUUAAGAGAAAUUCUCUCUACAGAGAUACAUUUGCCACUAAUCCACAAAUUUCAUAGGAAAUGUCACCCUUUUUGUCCCAUUGGACCUACAGUAUUUUCUUUUUCUAAAAGCUAAAGAAGUCAAAUCCUUGCCUUUGAAUAUAUCCUGAAAGUCAUCACCCCUAUACACAACCUAGCUAGAAGUUGAUUGGCUCUCUUUUUUUUUUUUUUUUUUUUUUUUUUAUUUGUGCUGGAUUUCUAAUAAAACAAACAAACAAAUGAUUUCACUUUUGCAAUGAUUCAUUCAUGUUGUUAAUGGUUAUAUAUAUCUGGUCGUCUCUUUUAAAAGUUGAUAUUACUCCUUGUCAUUUAUUAUCUUUCCUUAAGAAUUUUAAUAAUCGCAUUCAAUGUGAGAAUUGACAAUCUCAGUGAUUUAGGUUGGUUCCCCUGUGUCAUAAGCCAUUUUACAUGAGAAAUCUGGAAGGUUCAACCUAUUCCUGUUGCCCUAAAUGCAAAGAUAAGAAUGUAUCUAUGCUUUAUUAUUUGUAGGAGUGUCUUAAUAUUCUUACUUUAUGGAAAACAA